This 236-nucleotide long non-coding RNA is filed under the name Panax ginseng (ginseng). RNAcentral describes it as "long non-coding RNA (PGIN_LNC003445)". The record is from RNAcentral. Lineage: Eukaryota; Viridiplantae; Streptophyta; Magnoliopsida; Apiales; Araliaceae.
AUCAUUAUAACAAUAAUAUAAUAUUAUUAUUCUCAUCUCUUGAUCACAAUCCCAAUUCAGGGUUUGGAUCUCAUAUCUGACUUCUCUUUCUUACACAACAUCAGUAAUCAAGUUAAAAUAGUUAACUUAAUUAUUCUGAACAAAUCAUAUAAUAAAAUAUUUAUUAUAUAAUUUCAAUUAUCACUUCAUAUAUUAUUUCCAAUCAUGUUUUCAUGGAAAAUAAUUAAUAAAAAAAA